RNAcentral lists this long non-coding RNA (949 nucleotides) under Homo sapiens (human). RNAcentral's name for it is "long intergenic non-protein coding RNA 2436". The record is from RNAcentral. Lineage: Eukaryota; Metazoa; Chordata; Mammalia; Primates; Hominidae.
AGAGCACCCAGCAUAACUGUGGGAGAAUAGUAAGCAUUGGACACAAAAUGGUUUAGGCAAAUAAUGAUGAACAAAAAUGGUCAGUCUGUGUUCCUGCUGACCCAGCACAGUGGGGACGCUGUGUAGGACAUGACCUUUGGGGGAAAGGACACAAGAACUCAGCGUGGGGGAUCCAGAAAAGAAGUCGCACGUAUUGAAGCCAGUAACGCCAAGCCAGUGAAUUCUCCUUGACGAGAAAGACCCACUUACUCUGCAGAAGAGAUAUAUGACAGCUGACAAUCCCUGGAGGAGAAUCUUUCUACUAAAUUGAACUGAUCCGAGAGGACAGGGAAGUCAGUGUGGGCGGCUCUAAGGAGCCUCCCUCUCUACAGCUGCGGCUCAGAGGAUUACGGCGCUUCAUCCACAAGGCAACAUUGCACAAGUAGCUUUUGAACAAAAGUCAUGGAUACUAUUAAUGAUAUGGUAAUCCUUAAUCGAGCUACCUCCCAGUAGUGAUUAUACUGACAUGGGAAGAAUAUCUAAGUCGUGGAGGCAGCCCACAACAACACUGUGUCAUUGUUCACCCCGGGCUCGACCAGGACUAACUUUUACCAGCAUCUCUAACGUCACCUUUCCCCUGAUGCCUCCCCACAACCCCUGGCCCCAGCUCCCAUUCCCGCCCCAUCAUAGCAAAAAAGUAGCAAAGAAAACCCUGAUCCUAAAUCUUUUUCUGGAUUUUUUUUUGCAAGUUCCCACACACAUUUAGUGUCGUCUCAAAAUUCACGCUGUCAACUGUCUCUAGGAAUCAUUUCCAUCUGAGAACAGACCACACAAAGGUUUAGUGCAACUAGGGACUAAACACCAGUCAUCUCCAGGACUUGACUUCAUCAUUUGCCUGUUCACCAUUGUAUCCCUAGAAUCUGUAACAACAACCAGAAGGUACUCAAUAAAUAUUUAAUCAAUGAACAAA